RNAcentral lists this long non-coding RNA (1122 nucleotides) under Anolis carolinensis (green anole). RNAcentral's name for it is "lncRNA (ENSACAG00000045230.1)". Lineage: Eukaryota; Metazoa; Chordata; Lepidosauria; Squamata; Anolidae. The record is from RNAcentral.
CUAAAACUAUCUUUAUUAGGAAGAAUAGCAGUGGUUAAAACAAACAUUCUCCCCAAAUUGUUAUAUAUCUUUCAAAAUCUACCAAUAAUUAGAAAUAAUCGGUUAUUUAAAGAGUGGAACAGAGAUAUUUCAAAAUUUAUAUGGAACAACAAAAAAACAAGGAUAAAUUUUACAAACAUGACAGAUGACAGACACAGAGGAGGACUGGGCCUACCUAAUUUGGAAUUAUACUUUGAAGUAUGCUGCCUAGACCGGAUUAGAAAAUUGAUAUCCCUCCAAAACGAAACAAAAACUACUCAUAUUAGAAGGCCACAACCUAAGGGCAGGCUGGCACACGUACUUAUGGUACCAAAAAGAAAAAAUUGAGAAGAAUUUCGGGAACCACUUCAUCUGACCCGCACUACUAAAGAUCUGGGAGAAAUAUAAAAACAGACUCUGCAACAAGACCCCGCUCUGGGUCUCACCAUAGAAGCCAGCCAAAGAAGAGAAGUGGCGUGGAAAGUCUGGCCAACCUACAAGGACAUAUUGAAAAAAGAAAAUAAAGAAUUUACAAUGAAAUUACUGGAAGAAAUUACUCCCCAAUUUGGCAGGAUAUCAUGGCUCCAAUGUUACCAAAUGCAAGAUCAUUUUAAAAAAGACAAGAAAUUAGGGUUCUCAGCAGACAUAUCCCCAUGGGAUAGGAUAAUGAAAGAAAGAAAGAAAACCAUAACCGGAAUAUAUAAAAUACUACUCGAGUGGAACACAGAGCAAGAAACUAUCAAACAAUAUGAAAUGUGGUAAAAUAGAAGGAACUCUCCAACACCUUUGGUGGACAUGUGACAAAGAAAAAUAGUAUUGGAAAGAAAUAUAUGUAUUAAGCCAAAAGAUUUUAAAAAUAAAAAUCCCCUUAAAACCAGAGUACUUCUUGCUAGGAUUAACAGAUACAGAUUGGCCUAAAACAUAGACAGACUUUUCACAUUUAUCACGACAGCGGCAAGAAUCAUCUAUGCGAGAGGCUGGUGGCAGGAAAAGAUACCCACGAAAGAAGAUUGGAUUGUGAAGAUGUUGGACAUCAUGAAUAUGGAUGAAUCGACAUCUCUGAUCACCAAAACCCAGGGUAAAAGAAAAAGCAAGACUGACUGG